AGUGAACGCUGGCGGUAGGCCUAACACAUGCAAGUCGAACGAGUGGCGGACGGGUGAGGAAUACAUCGGAAUCUACUCUGUCGUGGGGGAUAACGUAGGGAAACUUACGCUAAUACCGCAUACGAUUGAAUGAGCCGAUGUCGGAUUAGCUAGUUGGCGGGGUAAAGGCCCACCAAGGCGACGAUCCGUAGCUGGUCUGAGAGGAUGAUCAGCCACACUGGAACUGAGACACGGUCCAGACUCCUACGGGAGGCAGCAGUGGGGAAUAUUGCACAAUGGGCGCAAGCCUGAUGCAGCCAUGCCGCGUGUAUGAAGAAGGCCUUCGGGUUGUAAAGUACUUUCAGCGGGGAGGCGUUACCCGCAGAAGAAGCACCGGCUAACUCCGUGCCAGCAGCCGCGGUAAUAC
This 406-nucleotide ribosomal RNA is filed under the name uncultured bacterium. RNAcentral's name for it is "partial 16S ribosomal RNA". It matches the Rfam family "Bacterial small subunit ribosomal RNA", at positions 29 to 526 of the family's 1533-position model. The record is from RNAcentral.